AUCUCAUCGUCCAGGAUCGUCUCCCUCCACCACCAGAAACCGUUUCUCUCUCUUAAACUCCGGCCUUGUUCGUCAGGUCUCUCCGGUCCAACUCACCGCACGAGUGCCGUUUGCUUCAAUCCGCUACGGUAAACGAGCGAUUUCAAUUUCUCAAACAGUUAAGUUGUGAUCUCCUUUUGCGUGAUUCUUCUCGUUCUGAUUGUUGGCAGAGCAUCGUUAGAUCGCCAGCGAACCGCCGCUGCCGUAUCUACGAAUGCUGAGAAGCAGCGAAAGAGAGGAUCGAGUGUGGUCUGUUAUGCUGCUCCGAUGUCUGUUCAUAAUCUACAAUGGGUCUCGGCAAUCUCUUGCGUGUAGGUUCUCACGAAAUGGAUUAGUGCGAAUCGAGUUACAUGAUUCAGGAACUUUUAGCUAUAUAUAUAUAUAUAUGUUUGAUUGCCUCGAGAGAUCAUGUGUUGGUGUGAAUUGCGAUAGGCAGCUAAUUCUGUAGCUUUGAGUGUUUCAUUAAUGUUUUCAAUUGCUAUAUAUACUGAAUGGUGUUUCUUUGGUAGUGCAUUGAUGGUUGCAAAGGGUACAGGUAUCCACAAGUCCUUUGUUGUUCCGCUACUUGCUCUAACUGCACCAUCAGACAUUAUCUCCUGGGCAAAGUAAGCUCUCUUUUUUUUUCUAAUGGCUAUAUGACUACCUUUUCUUUACUAUAAAGCUUCUUAUCUCUGUUCUCCUUUUCUUAUUCUGGAUGAGAGAACUUUGUUUGUUUGAUUGUACUCCCCAUCUUGAAGUUUUGCAUUUGGUUUUGCAGGGGUGAAUAUGGAAUCUGGACAGCAUUCAUAGCACUUCUUGCUCGACUGUUCUUCGCUUUUCCAGGUCUUUUUUUUCAUCUUCAAGUGUUUUGUUUUGUUCAAAUGUCUGUAACUGGCAUUCAUUCAUAUUGCAAUUUGAGAUCAUUGCUAAUAUCAUUAACGUUGUUCUGUCUCGUCAGGUUUUAAAUUUGUAGAAGUUUGUCCCUGUCUUUAUCUGCUUGUAAUUGUUCUUUCUUUAUAGGUGAACUUGAACUGCCAUUCAUUGCAUUACUCUUGGCGAUUGUGGCGCCAUAUCAAGUUAUGAGCAUAAGGUUAGAGGUUUAGAGAAUUUUGUGUGUUUUGAUAACAGGGUUUUCUCUUCUUUAGUCGAGACUCAUUGGCUCUAUCCAUGUUUGCAGAGGGAAACAAGAAGGGGCUCUCAUUUCUUUGGCAAUAUCUUGUUUUCUGGCGUUUCAGCAUUUCUCACGAGCAGGCAGCUUGCAGAAAGCGUUUGAUCAGGGUUCAGUUGUCGCCACUUUAGGCAUCAUUGGUGUCACAGUUGUAUCUGCCCUUUUCUUGAUAUAACUAUACCUCAUCUGUAAAUCUCUGUAACGAUGUCUACGAAGAGAUGGGAAUAAUGGGCUGUAUUUAUUUACUUAAUGUUAACUCAACUCAAUGUGCUUCUGCUUAUCCGCUGUGUAUGAGAUGCUUAUAUUUAGCACUAUUAGCUGGUAACACAUUGAUCUUUUUCAGUCGUAAAUGAUUCCACAAUAAACUUGUUGGGGGUUGAAAAAUUCAACUCAGAAGGAAGGCACUGUUAAGGAUAUUGUGAUGCAAGCAACUGCUUUAAAACGCUGCAGGUAAUGUGGAGCUUGCCUCUCCAUCGUUGAUGCGCCUACCCGUUUUGGAAUAUGCUUGCAGGUAUGGAACUACUUGAUGUAAAGUUCAUUUUAUAUUUUGUACGUCUUUCCCUUUUCUUAUAUGUGUGUGUGUUUUAACAGGUCCCUAAGUAUUUUUUAUUCUCUAAAACUGUAAAAGAGAUACAUUAUGCUUAACGUGUCUACAAGAAUGUAUAUAACCUAAGCCCUUUCAUUUUGUAAUAUCUCCUACUAAAUAAAUAUAUUUCCCGUUAUGAACUAUAGCAAGAGAACAGAUGAUGUGUGUGAGGUCUUGGAUUAAAAUCUUCUUGCUGAUCACGGCUGAUUCCUUCGACUCCAUACUAUCGUGAUGGUGUAUUUGUAGGAAACGAGACUUGUAAUUUGCAGAGAAAGAUGGAAAUCCUGAAAACCCUUUGUCCGUUUAGAGAUAAUUUUGCCUGAGCAGUGGCACUAGUAUUCCAACCGCUGUAAAUACUGAGAGAAAGCUAUGUGACACAUGAGUUGCUAAACUCGGAAGCCCCGUUGGCUCUGCCACGCCGUAGGGUGGUCCAGAACCAGGUAUGUCUGUAGUUGGAGUUGUUAUUGGGGGUGGGUAUGUAGGAGUAGAAGGUGGGGAAUUAAAAUCUGGUGGACUUGGUUGACUUGGCGGGCUUGUGCUGCAUUUGGCAAAUAUAAAUCACUGUAAUUUUUCUCAAUUUAUUUGGCAGGUUAAGUCGUUAAUUUACCGGAAAGAGAAACAUACCUGACAGUUCCUGAUGAUGAUGGGAAGCGACAGCUUCCUUUACCUGGAGCAGCGUAAGAGCAGAUUUGAGUACCACACUCGAAUUUAUAUUUAGCGUAUACAUUAGAAUCAUAUGGUAAAUCUGGGUUCAUGAACUUAAUCUAGACACUCAACCAAGUUGUAGUCUUGUAGAGGUCUUAAAUAGCUCGAUAAAUGGAGGCAGCAAAGAAAGAAGCAGGGUAUAUGGAUGCUAGUAUUCAGGUAACUUACUUUCCUGGAUCUUAUGAUAAAAUCUUGGUAGACUUGUAGUUAAAAGUGUCUUACUUGGAUCUGCGCUGGUGAGUUGUGCAGCCCCUCCAAAGUUGCAGCUGUCUGAACCAGGAUGCUUCUGGUAAUAACUAUUGAAAGCAAAGGAUGCAUGAUCACGAAUGGUGUUAGGCUCGUAACAGCUUGCACCUUGUUGGAUCUGGCCACAAUCAGCUCCUCCAUACCCACAAGCGUAAUCCAAAGCCACUUGUAAUGAUGUUGGCGAAGCAGUUGCUUUCGCUAUACACCACUGACCUCCACUGCCUCCACCACCACCACCAUUAUCACCACCGCCGCCUCCACCAGGUGCACCACCACCGCCUGCACCAGUGUCACCACCGCCUCCUCCACCAGGUGCACCACCACCCCCGCCUGCACCAGUGUCACCACCUCCACCAGGUGCACCACCACCACCACCGCCACCUGGGGGUGUAGUACCAUCAAGUGGUGGGUAACCACCGGUUGGGGUGGUACCAUCAAGUGGUGGAUAGCCACCACCGGUUGGUGGUGUUGUACCAUCUAGUGGUGGAUAGCCACCGGUUGGUGGAUUUGGGUUCGUGACUGGACCUGGCAAUGUCGAGGAAGGCGGUGAUGGUUGGGUUAUGGUUGGUGUGGUGGUAUCACCCCCUGGAGAUGUAGGAUUAACAACUGGUAUGUCACCCUGUCCUCCCUGAGCUAUAACAUCUAGAGCUGAAACCAAACCAAUCAUCAGAUUAAAAGAAACAGGUCAGUUCGUUGCAAUAACAGUAACUCUUAAGAAACUUUUAAGAAUGUGCAAGAAAAACGGAGCAGCUUAUACUCUAAUGUUGUAAACAGACAACAAAGAGAUUACGUGAAGUAAUAAGAAGGCAUAGAAGCAUGAUCUGGAAGGAACGAGGAGCUAUACGGUGCGGCAUUUCUUUCCGUUCCUUGUUGUAGUUGAAGCUUUUGAAAGAGAGAAAAAGAGAGAGACUUGUCAGGUAGUCUUGGGAUGUGGGAGAGGAAAGAUAGAAUGGUUGCGAAGAAGUUCCAUCUCAGGUAUAAAGAUGAAGAGAAAAGGGAGAAUCAUAGAAUCAAAGAUUUCUUGGGAUGGGAGAGAGAAGGGACGCGAAGACAUGACUGAGAGAAUAUAAGAAAACUUGAGAAAGGAGAAACUAGGAAGCUAGAAUCGUCAAGCAAGCGAAAACACCAUAAAGAGGAAAAGGUAUUUACAGAUCAACUUAUAUAGUCCAUGAAAAUGUAUAAGAAGCUCCUUUUUUGGUGGAAAAAUUCAAACAUCGUCCUAACUCUUUCAUCUCCUAAAUAGUAAACAAAGAUGAAAAAAAUAUGAGAUGGGUAUGUGGUGAAAAAGAGAUUUGUGUCGUUAAUUAGUGUCAAAAGAUGAUUACAAUGACAUGAAAUAUCAUACUUCCACUGGAAGUGAGUGUAACCAAUGUUUUAUCUAUUUAAUCAACGUUAGUGCUGGAGAAUGUUGUCUUUUGGAGCUAGGAGUGUCCUUUUAACUGUUGUUGUUGUACUGAAUCGAACAACAAUAGAGAGAACAUGUAAGUAAAGUUAAAAAGUAACGAAAAGCUAAAGUGUUUCCUAUGAAACAUAAGGAAUGUGCUUGUUAAUAAGCCUAGUUGUUAUUCUCUAUCUCUCUUUAUUUGUAUCUUCUCUUGUAAACAAGUGCUUCUUUUCGUCCAUGUGUCUCUAUCCCUUUUUUGCCAUGUAACUUUUAUUCAGAUUAGUUUUUCUUUAUGAGAAAGUUCAUGUGGUAACUUUCCCCCCAAGUUAUAAGUGUUUCUUUAUUGUCUCUAUGUGUUACUUUUGAUUCACCAAAGUUGAACUGAGAGUUGCAGCACACAGAUCAAGAACAAGAGGAAAAUACAAUGAACAGAAUAGUCUGUUAUUAUCAAUGAGUAACAGUGUCCAUAUAUACAUGAUUAAGCCAAAAGAAACUUAACCAAGAAUAACCAUAAUCAAUUUAUCUUAACCGGAAAUCAAACCAACCAGCAAUCCUAACUGUUAAUGUUUCAUAUGGCUUCUGUUCAGAUUUGGUUUAUUUAUAGGUUCGUAAAGAACUUACGUUUUCGGUUUGUUUUUCUUCUCCUUGUCUUCAUUUUGUGUUCGGAUUCGGUAUUUUCGAUAUUAAAAAGUAUUAAUGAAAGACAAAAGAUUGACUUGAAAGAAAGUUACUUCUCCUUUCACUGAUUUGUUCCAUCUCUUAUCACCAAACUCUUCUUAGUAACUUCUCAGUAUUACACCAGCACUAACCGCUGCAACAAAUGCUUGAUGGUGGUCUGAGAAGAAAUCAUCAGUCACAUAAUCUGUGAUAGGAUACAAAGAGUGUUUCUUACCUGACCAUUCCGUAGAGGUCUCUGACUGCAGACCGGCGACUAAGGGUGGGCGUUAGGAUAUCCGUUCGGAUUCGGGUCGGAUAUUUCGGAUUUUCGGGUAUUUCGGUAUAGAGAUAGAGAACCCGUUCGGGUAUUUAUGUACUUCGGGUCGGAUUCGGGUAUUUUUAAUUCGGGUUCGGUUAUUUUGAAUCGGGUUCGGAUAUUUAGAUUUUAAAAGAAAAAAAAAUAAAUUUUUCAUUUUUUAAGUUUAUUGUAUUUAAAAAUAUAGAUUUCACUUAGCUGUUUUUUUAUUUUUUAUAGAUUGAAUGAUUAAUAGGUUUGAAGAUAAUAUUUCAAAAACAAAUAGAUAUUAAUUUGGGUAUUGUUUUAAUCUUUGAAUGUAACUUUUGUUAAUACAUGAAACAAAAAGUUUGACAUGUAUUUUAAAUGAAUAUCAAAUCAUUUUCUCCACAAUUAUAUAUAUACUUAUGAUCUUAAAGUAUGUGUAACAUCAAUAUAAAUAUUUUUAAAAAAAAUAAGAGAUGUAAACUAGAAAUAUAAGGGUAAUUAUACAUAUGUUCGGUUACCUUCGGAUAUCCAUUCGGGUUUGAAUAUUACCCGUUCGGGUUCAGAUAUCCAAUCUUUCCUAACUUAAUACCCGUUCGGGUAUUUUUCUACUUCGGUUCGAAUUUCGGUUCGGGUUUUUCGGGUCGGGUUCGGGUGCGGCUUCGGGUAUCGGGUAAAGUGCCCACCCCUACCGGCGACGGUGUUAUGUUUAUCAGGAACCAGCAUCCUUUCCUUCUUUGUUGAGUUGGUUCUGAGCAUUAUAAGUAACAUAGUCGCACAGCUUGAUUGAAGGGAUCGAUCUCCUAUGGCCUCGACCCAAGAGUUCCUCACUCUCCCCCUGAAUACUCUGUUUCUCAACUCCAUUGUCUACCGUUUCUGUAAUCUGCUCAGUAACGCCAGACACAAUCUGUUCACUGUUUACUGCGAUCUGGUCAGUAACUCCAGAACUUCUCUCCUUGUCCACUAUCAACUCACGCUGCUCUGCCUCGUCGUAAAACUCACACCCCACUGGAGGUACAAUUGGCGUUGCAGAUGUUACUUUCUUCUCAGCAUAUGGAUAUACUUCCUCAUCAAACACCACAUCCCUUGAGACAAAGAACUCAUUCUUGUCUAGAUCAUACAACUUCCACCUUUUCUUUGCAAAAGGAUAUCCACGAAGACACACCUUGCACUGCGUACUCCAAACUUAUCCUUAUCCCUCCUUGAUUUGUGUGCAAAACACAAGCACCCAAAUAUCUUGAUAUCAUCAUACGAAGGAGGUUUCCCGUACUGACAUUCAUAAGGUGUUUUACCUUUGAGCAACUUUGUUGGCGUUCUAUUGAUAAGAUGAGCUGCCGUCAACACACUCUCUCCCCAAAACCGUACAGGGAGAUUAGCUUGAAACAAAAUCGAUCUUGCAACAUUCAAAAUGUGGCGAUGCUUUCUCUCCACACGUCUGUUUUGUUGAGGUGUCCCCAUGCAUGAAGUCUGAUGCACGAUCCCUGCUUCUGCAAAAUACUUGGAAAGGCACAUGAACUCAGUCCCAUUAUGACUUCUCACAGUUUUAACGGUCUUGCCAAACUGACGAGUUGCAAGCGCAAUGAAGUUCGGCAGAACUGUUCUUACUUCGCUUUUCUCUAGUAGGAGAUGAAUCCAUACCGCUCUGGAGAAGUCAUCUACAAUUGUAAGAAAGGAGACAGCUCCAAGAUGGUACUCGAAAGAAGAAGAACUUUUACUAAGACUUCCAGAGAACAUUUCUCUUGUUUGUUUGGACUGAAAACAAAUGUCACAACCACCAAACUUAUUCAAAACAUCUUUAACACCCGAAACAAAAGGUAAAAAACCCAAAACACCAUAAGCAGGAUGCCCAGACAACGAUGCCACACAGUCUGAUCCUCUGAAGCUUUAACUCUGUGUCCUCUCGCUACUGUGACAUCCCGAUAAACAUAAACACCAUCUUUGACUUCACCGGCUCCAAUCAGAGUCCUCGUAAAACGGUCUUGCAAAAUACAAGAUGUAUCUACAAAUACGACUAAACAACCAGUCUGUCUAAGCAAUUUCGCCACAGACAACAAAGUACAAUUCAAAUUUGGAACAAAAAGAACAUUUUCCAAAGUCAGUUUCAUCGACAACCGCAAACUAGCUACCACUCUUGGUAGCCAUCACAUGACUCCCAUCAGCGAAGCUCACAUGACAGGGUAUGUAACACCCCCGAACCGUUUUAGACAUCGGUCAAUCAGCCGGGCAACAAUCAAACAAGAACAUGCCCGAACGACCCUCCUCUGCCAAGUUCAGAAGUGUCACAACGGGUUUAGAAUAGACUUUCCAAGUCACAAAACAUAAUUCUGUAACCCAGAAUAUCCAUUCAAAACUCGUUUCCUCUAAUCUUCGGCCUGAGGCUUUGCAACCCGUACCGAGUAAUAGAGUUGUGUUAGGUUGGACUAACCUAAUAUCAGAUUCAACACGUCACGAAUAUAAAACAUAUUUUAUUUCAUAUAUAUAAUACAUGAAGUUCACAAGACCAAAAUAUUAUACAUAGGGUCCAUGGACGCAGUCGAAAGUAAAACAUACAUUCAUAUAUCUUGAAAACGAGUCUUUAGCAAAAGAUGAUCAAUCUACACCAGCUCCUACAGUUCCGCGAGUGCUACGGUCCUCUCUACUGGUCACCUGCAAAAGGAUGUGAGGAGUGAGUGAACUAGUUUCACUCAGUGAGCCAGGGUUCCCUAUCUAGCAUAUACAACUACCCGUCAUUCUAAACCCAACCCCAAACACAAGCAAGACGGGUAGUUCAACAAUCAAUAUUCAAGAUAAAGCAUGACCGAUUUAGGCAAUAAACCAUUAAACCAUAGUAUAUCAAAACACUCUUCAUGAGUGUCACAUCAAUUAACCAUAUAUAUAUAUAUACACUCCUAGGGCCCAACAGAAUCAUUCUUCCUCCACAUAAGGGACACCGGCAAUCCCUUCACUAUUACACCACACAGGCGUAGGCGCUCGGGAAUCACCCGGUCACGGUCCUCAAUCGGAAUCGCCGUGCCCCGGUCCUCUAUCGGACUCGCCGGGGGCUGUCACAUCCACGUGUGACACUCGGCCUUGGUGAUCAAGCCAAGUUAAACCGAGCCCACCACUUUCCGGACCACGACCGGCUUAGUGGUACCAUUUGAGGAAGCAAUGACCUGCAAACUACUACUAGAACCACCACGAGGUUCUCACACAACAGUACCAACACGAGGUACAAUUUAAAAUAUUUAGUAAUAAAUUAAAUAUCAAAUUCUUUAGAUAUUGAAAACUGAUAUGAUCAAAUUAUCUUCUAUUACGUAAAAUAAACUUGAAAAUGCUCAUAAAGUUAUAUAUAAAUAUAUAAAUAAAUAGGAAUUUAUAUUUAUUUUAAUUUUUUUAAAAAUUAUAAUGUAAAAUAUUUUGUUGGAUAAUAUAGUAUAAACUAUUUUUAGGAUCUAGUUUCAGAUUGGGAUGAGGUAUUUUCCGGAUCUAGUUUUGGACUGUGGCUUAUCGGAUCUAUUAUCAAUAGGAGCACUUUUCACUUGGUGGAACAAACAGGAGGGUGAUCCAAUUGGUAAAAAUUUGGAUCGUGCUCAUGUGUUUUCCUCAGUCUCAAGUUCAUUUCGAAGCAGAGGGUAUCUCAGAUCAUGCAAGGUGUUCUGUUCGUAUUGCUGAUCGGUCUGCUGGUAAUAGGAAACCUUUUCGACUUUUCAAUUACUUUUCAAUCAUAACAAGUUUAUUCCAACAUUGCAAAGGAUCUGGGACUUAAGCCCUCCACUGUUACACUCUCGUAUGGCCCUUCAUUUGUUUCACAUGAAGCUUAAACUUCUAAAGUUUAAUCUUCGUGCUUUAAACCGGACAUAGUAUGGAGACAUAAGUACUAAGACCCGUGAAGCUUAUGUAGUGUUAUGCGACAGGCAGAAUGAGGCGCUGGUAAAUCCUUCUGAUGAGUCAUUUAGGAUUGCGGCUGAGGCGUUGGAUAGAUGAAACCACUUAGCAACAAUUGAAGAGAAGUUUUAUAAGCAAAAGUCUUGUGUUAAGUGGUUGGAAGUAAAGGAGAGGAAUACACCUUUCUUCCAUCAAGAGGUUCAGUCUAGAAUGCCAGGAAUGCAAUCAAGUCUCUUCUCUCGAGUUCCGGGGAAGUCUUCACAGAUGUAGCUAUUAACGAAGAGGCGGUUGAUAAUUUCCAGCGCUUUUUGCAGACACAGCCAGAUACAUCAUCGGUCUCCUUGGAAGAGGUGCAAGAGCUCUUGAGUUAUCACUGCUCAGAUAGUAAAGCUUUGGAUCUGGUCUCCCCUAUCAAAACCACUGAAAUCAUAUGCACUCGCCAGGCACUACCUAAUGGCAAGGUCUCUGGUCCGUGGUCCGGAUGGUUUCACUAAGGAGUUCUUUGUAGCAGCUUGGCCCGUUCUUGGAGCAGAUUUUUCAUAGCAGUACAACCUUUCUUCCUCUUUGGAUUUAUGCUAGUUGUGGUUAAUGCCACUAUCCUCUCCCUGAUUCCUAAAACAGAAUCAGCUCAAACGAUGAGAGACUAUCGUCCCAUAGUGUGCUGCAAUUUUCUGUACAAAGUCAUAUCUAAGGUUCUAGUCCGCUGUCUCAAAACAAUUCUCCCUAAAGCUAUUGAAGCAAACCAAUCUGCUUUCAUUAAGGAUCGACUUCUCCUUGAAAAUGUUAUUCUAGCAUCUGAACUUUUUAAUGGAUAUCCCAAAUCUACUAUCUCCAGCAGAAGCACGAUCAAGUUUGACAUCUCAAAGGCCUUUGAUACAAUAAAGUGGUCCUUCAUUGUUCUGGUGUUGUAAGCAAUGGGUUUACCUCAACAAUUUAUUCACUGGAUUUGUGUAUGCAUUUCCACUGCAUCCUUAUUUUUCUCAGUCAAUGGCGAACUUGAGAGGUUCUUCACUACUGUGAGAGGCAUACGCCAAGUUGCUCUCUCCCGCCAUAUCUCUAUGUGAUACUCAAUAAUAUCCUAUCUCAGCUCCUCAAGGCUGCAGCCAGCAGAGGUGAGUUUGGAUAUUAUCUUUUCUGCAGGGAGAUACAACUUACCCAUCUUUUCUUUGGGGAUGAUCUUGUAGUGUUUACAAAUGGGCCAACACGUUCAGUUCAUGGUGUCUUGGCUGUGAUGGAUGGAUUUGGCCAAAUGUCUGGACUGUUUAUCAAUAACGUUAAGCCUUACUAAGGUGGACUAAGACCCUUUGCUUGAUAAAGUCUGCAAGACUUUGCUUGGUUGGACAAACAAGACUCUUUCCUAUGCUGCUCGUCUGCAGUUGCUUCAGUCGGUCAUUGUGAGUAUGGUAAAUUUAUGGUGCUCUGCAUUUAUGUUGCCUAUGGGAUGCUUGGAUGUAAUUGUUCAUUUGUGCAAUGCUUUCUUGUGGUCUAGAUCGCCAAACAAUACCCACAAAGCUAAAGUUGCGUGAGAUGAUAUUUGCUACUCUAAAGAGGUUGGAGGCUUAGGCUUUCGAAGAUAAGGACACUAACCGGGUUUUUGGACUUCAUCUGAUCUGGCACCUAUUCACUAAGCCAUCCUUCUGGGAUGAAGGAGACCACUCUUGGCUCUUGGAUUUGGAAAAAACUUAUCAAACUGAGUCCUAUGGCUUAUGAUAUUAUGCAUGCAUAGCUAGGGAAUGGAAGGGAUAUCUAUUUUUGGACUGAUGACCGACUCAAAAUUGGGCGCUUGAUAGACAUCACAUGAAGCUUGGGUACUCGUUAUCUGGGAAUUCCUAGAGAUGUUAAGGUGUGUGAUGCGGUUAUCAACGGGGAGUGGAAGAUUAGUAGGAUAAGUCGGCUUCAUGGCGAUUUGUGUAGACGUAUCCUAGCUGAGGAACCGCCUGAUGUUGCGAGUGGAGCAGACUAGUUUUUGUGGCGCCACAGUCAGGACACUUAUUCUCGUUCCUUCUCUUCAAAGAAUACGUGGGAUCAACUGCGCAUACGAAAAAACAAGGUCUCCUGGGCACAUUUUAUAUGGUUCUCACAGGAGCUGCCUCGUUUUUCUUUUAUCACUUGGCUUGCUGUGCUUGAUCGUCUCUCUACUGGUGUUAGAAUGAGAAUGUGGAAUGUCGAGCAGUCUUGUGUCUUCUGCUGGGGAAAAAGAUGAGAAUUGAGACCAUUUGUAUUUUGUUUGUCCAUACAUGUUUACUGUCUGGCUGAAGGUUGCGGGAAGCAUUCUUGGGAACCGGAAACGCCGGACUGGACUGUUACUAUGAUCACUUUACAGGGUGAUACUUUCUCAUCAAUGGACUAUGUUCUGCUCUGACUAGCUUUUCAAGUAACAGUGUAUUUAUUGUGGAGGGAGAGAAAUGCUCGUAGGCAUCGUACGAGUUGAUCAGAUGUGUCGUCAGAUUGAUCGCACUAUACAAAACCGUAUUAUUGCGCUACAUUAUGGAGCCACACACAAAUUUGAGGGAUUAUUUCGUCGCUGGUUCGCCAUUAUUGGCUGAAAAUGAUAGUGAAAAAGACGGUUGAAAUUGAUUCUUUUUUACUGCUUUAUACAUUUUCAUAUCACACUGUAAAUGACCAAUUUCUUUAUUGUUUAUAAUCAAUUUUAUAUUUUAUUUUUAUAUGGUGAUAAUUAUCAAAUCAGUUUAAAUUCGUUUUCCAUUUAUAGUUAAUUAUAUAUUAACAAAUAUAACGGUCACUAAUGUUUAUAAAGACUUUAUAGCAUAAUAUAAUUAUUUUUAGAUGGUGAUAGUUGUUAAUUUAAUGAAAUUCAUUUUUAAUCUACAUGGUUAACUAUAUUUUAACAAAUCUAAUUAUUUAUUAAGAGUAUUAUAGAUUUUAGCCUUUCUAAAUUUAACCGCGAAAGUUCACAGACAAAAAAAAUAAUUCACAAAUAAUAUAUGUAUAUAUAUAUCUGAAUAUAAAUAAAUAUAAAAUAGACAUUAAAAGAAAAUAUGUACAGAUUCAGUAACUUAAAGAUCUUUGAAAAUAAAAUAUAAUUAUAAACAUAUUAUAGGUUUUUUUUAAAGCAUUAUAACAUAUAGUUAUACCUUCAUUGUUAACAAAUAAUUAUACUGCCUAACUAAAUAUACAACUAGAUCAUACUACCAGUCGUAUGUAUUUGAUUAAAAAACAAGUCAGUUACUAAUAAUCCAAAUGAUCGUUAGAAAUAAAUGACGUCAUAAGUCAUAAAUAGUACCAUCAUUGAGCGAUAACUGUAUGAUUUGGUUCUCAAAUCGGUAAGCUCCUCUAAUGCACAAAAAUACGUCUAAUUUUGAUUUCUGAGAACUGAAACUCUUGAAAAAGGACAAAUCCAAGAUUGUUGUGGUAAAAAUUGUCAAAUCCAAGAUAUUUGACAAUUAAUGAUUUUAACAAGAAAGAUUAGAUAACAAUUUACAUAUCCUCCAUUAUUUUUUGCUAAAUAUUAUAUUAUUAAAAUUUUCGUAUAUGUUACAUUUGAAUUUUUAAAAACAACUACAAAUAACGAAAAAAUAUUAAAAGUCUCACAUUGAAAAUUUCGUGAUCAAUGAUUUAAAACUUUUGUUAUAAUAAAAUACAAAUGAUCAUAAAACCAUAUAAGUAAAAAUAAUAUUUUAUAAUUAUUUAGAUUGAUAUACAUAUAUUAAACUAUAUACCAUAUAAAAAUAUAUAACUAUUUUAAUUUAAAAUUUUGCAUUGAACAAGUAUUGAGAAAUUAAUAUUUUAAUUUUAAAAUUUUCAUUAAAUUUUCAAGAAAUAUUAUAAAUUAUUAAAAAUAUUAAAAGUCCCACACUAAAAGCUUUGUUAUUAAUGGUUUAAUUUUUUGUUAAAGAUAUAAAAAAUAUCAUAAAACCAUAUGAUUUGGAAGUUUCAUUUAAUAAAUAGCCAUUAUUAAAGAUAUACUGUAUAUCUAUGUUAAUAUUAUUUAAAUUUAAUUACAUACAAUACAAAAUAGAGAAAAUUAUUGUUUAAAUUUUUGUACCACAAAAUAAUAGUAAAUAAACAAAAGUGAUUUCUUUAAUUUAUUAUUUCUAUCAAUUUAAGUAUAUAUGUAACAAUUAAUAAUUUUUCAAUUAUUUAAUAUAUAUUAUUAAUUUUUUCAUAAUAUAUAAAAACGUUAGACAAAUAAUAAUACUUAAACAUAAUUUGUAUAUAAAAUGUUCUUACGCGGAAUCUUAAACUAGUAUAUAAAUAUAGAGGAUAAUUGGUUGAACUGUGGAUGUAGGAAUUUAGCUGUAAGAUUUAGACUGUAGUUUUUAUUGUUGUAGCUUUAUAUUUUUUUGCUGUAAAAAAAUAGUACAGUUCAUAAAACACUUUAAAAGUUGCUUUAAUAAAAAAUAAAAGUAAAACAUGAACAAAAACAAAAGGUUGUAGAUGCUGUAGCAAGACUUUGGCUUUGAUUGGUGACAUGAGUUACCAUUAAUUAAGUUUGAGUUGGGCUUAGAGCAUCUCCAAUGGUGCAUCAAAAUGAGGGAAAACAUCAAAAAAUGAGGGAAACUCAUCUCCAAUGGUACAUCAUUUUGAAGGAAAAAUGAGUAUAUGAACAGUAUUACAUCAAAUUUGAGGGAACACUAUUCACAACCUCAUUUUGAUGUCAAGCUUUUUUUAUUUACAUAAUGAUCCUUUAUUUUAUGAUAAUAUUUAUUUUAUGCAUAAACAAAACAUUAACACUAAAGAUAACUUUUAUAACUUUAUACCCAAUAUGUAUAUACUGAUUAAACUUCUUUAAAAUAAAAUUACCAAUUAUUAAUUAUUAAAAUAUAAUUUAUAAUUUAUAAUUUUAUAAAUUAUAUUAUAUAAUUUAAAAAAUAAAAUAGAAAAAAAUACCAUUGAGAUACCAUUGUAGUUGGAAGAGAAGUUUCACCUCCGGAAGUUGAAAUAGCUGAAGACGAAAUUACCCGAUUCCAAAAGUUUGUGAGUCGGUUUAGACAAAUCAAGGAUAAAGAAGCUCAUUUUUCUCUUCGAAAUGAAUUGAUUGAUCAUUUGUGGGGAAAAUAUAGUAACAGUACUGUUUAAGUAAAAUUCUACUAUUACUUUGUAUGUUGUUAUGUACUUUUAUUGAUGUAAUAAAUAUUUGCUUUUUACAAGUUGAGGUUUGGUUAAACUGUAUAAUUUAAAAAUAAGUGAGAAUAAUCUAAAAUCUUAUAAAAUAAAGGUGUUUUUUUGCAAUAUAUAAAAAGUUGAAAAAUGAAUAUAAUAAGAUUUGAGGGAGAAAAUGAGGGGAACCAUUGGAGCAAAUCACAAACUCAUUUUGAGUUUACUUCAUUUUGAGGGAAAAAAUGAGGUAAACCAUUGGAGAUGGUCUUACAACUCAAAAAUGUUACCAAUCAUGCAUUAAAUUUAGUUUUUUAUUUUAUUUUAGGUUUGAUUUAAGAUGUGUUGUAUUUGAGUUACAAUUUUGACUUAGACCCUUUAUAAAUUUGUUAACUCAAAACAUAAACCUACAUCAACCAAAAUCUCAUGUUUUAGAAUUUGAGUUACAAAUUUGAUUGAUUUUUUUUUUAAGAAAAAUGAAAAUCGUGAACAUGACUUUUUACAAAAUAAUAUAUAUUGAACAAAUAAGAUGCAAAAGUAGAUUUGGGAAUAUUGGUGGUGGGUGUGGGGGAGAGUGGGGGUAAUAUUUAUUUGUUUUAUUUUAAGAUUUUAUAAAUUAUUAAUUUUAAUGAAUAUAUCUUUCAUGAUAGUCUAUAUUUUUCUAAUAAUUUUUUCAAAUCUUCUAUAUAAUACUUAGAAAAUAAUAUAGACUGAAAAUUCUUUUUCAAACUUUUUAUACUUAUUUAAAAUAAUUUUUCUUUUUGUUUGUUUUUAAAAGAGCUUAAUAAAAAGUUUUAUUUAUCAAUUUAUAUAUUCAUUUUUUUAUUUAGAACUCAUACGACAACUUAUACAUCAAAAAUGUUACCAGUCAUAAGUUUUAAUAAAUGAUAAAUUUUAUUUUUACCACAAAACUUACCACAUAAACUUACAGUUUUUACCACAUAUUUUUUACUGCAAGUUACAUCGAACUACAAAUCAUACUGCAAUUCAACUUUAAUAUUACAUGUCACCAGUCUGAGCAUUUAACUUUAAAAUUAAAACUAUAUCAUAAUUAGUUAGGAUUAAUGCUUUAAAAAUAAAUAAAACUAAAGUCUUAAAUUAAAUCCCAACUCAUCACCAUAUACUUGUAACCAUUAUUGGGUAGUAAAUAUAGGAGAUAAUGGAGUAUUGGUUGAAAAUGCAUAUAUGUUGUGUGUGCUAAGAAAAAAUUAAAUAAAAGAUUUGAUAAAAUCCGAAGACAUUAAUGGAUAAUAGCAGGAGAGAUAAUAAUAAAAGAUAAAAUAUAGGGGAAGUGUCAAAAUCAUAAGUUAAAAAAAAUGUCAAAAUCGGACGCAAAAAUGUAUUUAAAUAGAGUUAAGAAAAACCUCCUUAAGCCCAUCAAUCAUUCUCAUCCUUUCUUGUCUCGUUCUGAUAUUUUUCCUCCAUUAUUCCCUUCUUCUCCCUCUCUUUGGUUUGGUUGGUGGUAGAGAUUCAUCUCUCUCGCUCGCUUCGUGCUUUGUAUCGUGAUCAUCGUCGGUGUUCGGUAACUGCACCUUUUAGAGGUAAUUAAUUUAGUCUUUACCUCCUCCUCACUUUCCUAAAAUUUCCCCCUUUUUUCGCAACAAAUUCUGAUUUUUUUUCAGUUAUCAAACUUAAUCAUGUUUUCUCCGUCAAUUGAAUGUUUUUCUACUGAAAUCUCUGGGGUUUUUAUCUAAACCCUUUCUUAGAAUUUUAAAAGGGUUUUUGAUCUUCAAAAAGCUGAACUUUUUUUCUGUUUUGUUUGUGUCGGCGGUAUUGAUCAAUAUUGUGUCUGAAAGGUUUUAGCUUUUGAUGAUCCUGAUAGAUAAAAAACUAAACUGGGUUAGUUUUAAUCAUGCUAGUGUGUUCAUCGAUCUUCUUAGAUUCUGAUUUGGUAUAUACUCUUGGUAUUGGUUUAAAGCUCCCAAUCAGAUUGCUUUCAUGCCCUUUUGGAUGUAAAGUUGAUUUUUUUUUGCUUUUUAGCUUAAUCAAAAAAAAAAAGAGUUCUAGCAGAGUUUAUAUUUGAUUUGUUCAUAGUCUCGUAUAGAUCAAUUUUAUUUUUUGAGUUCUGGCAGAGUUUAUUGUUUGGUUUGUACAUAGUUUCGUAUAGAUCAAGUUUUUUUUUUUUUGGUUACAUUGAGGUUUUAGAUCUUUCUUGCUUGCAUGUUAAUUUUUCAACACAUGACUUGAGAUUUUCUUAUGUGUUGUCUGACCUGUGAAGUUCUUAUUCUAUCUGGGUCCAUCUUGAAUAUGAUAUUUCAUCAUUUUCUCCACCAGGUCAAAGAAAGGUCAAAGAAGAUAACUUUGUGAAUGGAUAUUCCACAAGACGUAGCUGGAGCUUGGGGGAUUCCCUCUGGAAUGGGACGCCACCGUCAUCUCCCCAGUGAUGCUACUCUCUUCUCUGCUUCUUUACCUGUUCUUCCCCAUGGAAAACGUAUUCAACCAAAUCCUUCAAUCAUUAUAUAGACGCAUGUUUUCUCUUGCUUACUAGUUUUGCUUCUUUUUGCAGUACAAUCAAGUGACAGCAGAGAUGGUUUCCCAUUCAUAGACGACGCGGCUGCUUCUCGUCCCGUCCACGAAAGUGUUGACGACAUUGAGUCUCAUUCCAUUGGAAACAUGCUCCCUGACGAAGACGAUCUUCUGACUGGGAUGAUGGACGAUCUCGACCUCACCGAGUUACCACCAGAUUCUGCUGAUGAUUACGAUCUUUUCGGCAGCGGAGGAGGGAUGGAGCUCGACGCUGACUUUCGUGACGGCUUGAGCAUGAAUGGUGGUCCUCCAAGGCUAUCCAUUUCAAGCGCAGUUCCGCAGUUCAAUGUUCAGAACGGCGCCGGAACUGUUGCUGGCGAGCAUCCUUAUGGUGAACAUCCCUCGAGAACGUUGUUUGUCAGGAAUAUUAACAGCAAUGUAGAGGACUCUGAGCUCAAGACUCUCUUUGAGGUAUAACUUCUACACUAUUGGAUUGGUUUAUAACAAAGCUUACUCUACAUACAGACAAUGAUUGGUUUAUGUUUUUGUGGCAGCAAUACGGUGACAUAAGAACGCUCUAUACUACUUGCAAGCAUAGAGGGUUUGUUAUGAUAUCUUAUUAUGACAUUCGUGCUGCUCGAAUGGCUAUGCGGUCUUUACAGAACAAGCCAUUAAGGCGGAGAAAGUUGGAUAUUCACUUCUCUAUUCCUAAGGUUCACUAGUGCUUCUUUGUUUAAAUUGUCUUCUUGUCUUGUUGAUGCGCUCUAGUUUGUAUCUAAUGUGCAUGUUGCCUGUGUAAUCUGUAGGAUAAUCCAUCUGAGAAGGAUAUGAAUCAGGGGACACUAGUGGUUUUUAACCUGGAUCCUUCAAUAACUAACGAUGACUUGCAUGGAAUAUUUGGUGCUCAUGGCGAGAUCAAAGAGGUGAUUCAUCUCUUUGUAUUUGUAUUACUUUGAGCGUCUUGUGUUUUAUUCAGUGUUAAGUGUUGUUUUUUUAUUUCUCUCCCAGAUAAGGGAAACACCGCAUAAGAGGCAUCACAAAUUCGUCGAGUUUUACGAUGUUCGAGCUGCUGAAGCAGCGUUAAAGGCUUUAAAUAGGUGCGAGAUUGCUGGAAAACGUAUAAAAGUUGAACCUAGUCGCCCUGGAGGAGCUCGUAGAAGGUUUCUAUCUUUCUUUGAUCCUAAUGAACUCUAUUGUGUUUCUUACAUCUGACCAUACAUUUGAUCUUUCUAGCUUGAUGCUGCAACUUAACCAAGAGCUUGAGAACGAUGAUUUGCAUUACCUGCCGCUGCUUGGUUCGCCUAUGGCAAACUCUCCCCCAAGUGAGUCUAUUAACUAUAUGCUUCUCUUCAGACGAAACUGUAAUUUUAACACUGUUUGUUGUGAUGGCAGGUAACUGGCUGCAGAUGAACAGUCCCGUUGAGGGUAGUCCGCUUCAGAGUGUGCUGAGCAGGUCACCCGUUUUUGGAGUAAGUCCUACAAGGAACAGCCACCUGUCUGGUUUGGCUUCUGCUCUAAACUCACAAGGACCAAGCUCCAAGCUUGCACCCAUCGGCAGGAGUCCAGUUGCUAGCAACGUCUUCCAACAGUCGUCUCAUUUGUUCCAAGAGCCAAAGCCGGAUAACAAGUACACUGGAAACCUCUCUCCUUCUGGUCCUCUGAUCUCUAACGGAGGCGGCAUCGAGACGUUGUCCGGAUCAGAGUUUCUCUGGGGGAGUCCCAACACACGCUCUGAGCCUUCAAACUCUUCGGUUUGGUCAACGUCAUCCACUGGGGUUCCGUUCUCCUCGGCUCGUGUAGACCGGUCUGUUCCAUUUCUGCACCAAACUCAGAACCGCAGCCAUCAUCCUCAUCAUCAUCAUCAUCUCCACGUUGGGUCUGCACCGUCGAAUGUUCCUCUAGAGAAACAUUUUGGAUUCUUCCCAGAGUCUUCAAAGGACACUAUGUUCAUGAACUCGAGUGGAAUGGGUGGUGGUCUCAACGGUGUGAGUUUCCCGUCAAGAAUGGCAAAUCAUGGGAUUAUGAAUCCCGAGAACGGUUUCUCAAGUUACAGAAUGAUGUCUUCACCGAGGUUCAGCCCCAUGUUCUUAAGCAGCGGCUUAAACCCUGGACGGUUCCCCGCUGGGGUUGAUGGCUUGUAUGAGAAUGGAAGACCCCGUCGAGUGGAGAACAGUUCGAGCCAGGUUGAAAGCAGGAAGCAGUUUCAGCUUGAUUUGGAGAAGAUUAUGAAUGGAGAUGAUUCUAGGACCACCUUGAUGAUUAAGAACAUUCCAAACAAGUAAAAGCUAUUUUCUUUUCUUUACCGUUACUUCUUGUGAAAUACUUCUUAGAAUAUAACUUUUCUGUUGUGGUUUUUUAUCAUCAACAGGUACACAUCAAAGAUGUUGCUAGCGGCGAUUGAUGAGAAGAACCAAGGCACUUACAACUUCCUCUACUUGCCCAUUGAUUUCAAGGUAAAACAAAAGAAUCAUUAAGGAGUUCACUAACUUACAGAACAAGCCGUUGAUAAAUUUUUUUUUGGUUUUGCAGAACAAAUGCAAUGUUGGCUAUGCAUUCAUCAACAUGCUUUCCCCGGAUCUCAUCAUUCCAUUUUACGAGGUCUCCUUCUCUCGCUUUCCUUCUAAGAUACUAAAUAAACUCAGUGCAGAAGAUGAACUUAACAUAUAACAUGCUUAUUAUUAUGUGCAGGCGUUUAACGGGAAGAAGUGGGAGAAGUUCAACAGUGAGAAAGUGGCUUCAUUGGCGUACGCUAGGAUACAAGGAAAAACUGCACUUAUAGCCCAUUUUCAGAACUCAAGCUUGAUGAAUGAAGACAUGCGUUGCCGUCCAAUCAUCUUCGACACACCUAACAGUUCAGACUCUGUUGAACAGGUAAAUAAGCCUGUUUAAAGAUAAAGUACAAACAACAAUCUAAAUGAUGGAUAAGGAAGUCAGGACUAGUGUUGAUACAUGGUUGUGAUUUUGCUUUUGGUCAUUACAGGUUAUUGUUAAGGAAACUAAGAAUGGGGAUCUCUUUGACUCUGAGGUUAAUGAUGAUGAGGACGAUGGUAGAGAGAAGAGCUGACAAAAGAGAGAAGAAGACUCGGUGUUGUGAUGAUCAUGGCUGUGUUUGUUUUUUUAUUUACAAGAACUAAUAUUUAACGACCGUACAUAAUGGGUGAAAGGCAGAGUUAACUGAUGCAGGAGCCUGCAAAAGUGUGUUUUGCGAUUUGCAGGUUUUAAAUGCUGCUGCAGCUGGAGUAUCUAUCUACCUACUCUGUUUCUUCUUUUUCUCUUCAUGUUUUUUCCUUUUUGGUUCCAUGGAGCAUUGUAUAUUAUAUCAACAAAAGCCAUGAAUACUCGGAUUUUAUGUGGGUAUGAUGUUGUAACUCUCUCUCUCUCUCUGACUCUUGUUGCUUUUAUUUAUUAAAAGCUUUGGCAAUUUGUACAGAAACUUAAACAAAGUGUACUCGUUCUCAAGUCUUUUUGUAUUUGAGUUUUACAUUAUCUCGUCUCGUAAAGCUAUUAUUUCUGUUUGUUUCUUCUUAUUAAAAGAUGUCAUUUCUCAUGUAGAGUAGAUGUUAAAAAAAAAAAGAGAAGAUCUUAAUCUUAUCAACAUAACGUGGAAGCUUUGUCAUGUCCAAAAUCUCAUGUGGCGUGCGGUUCAUGCCGACAUGAAAUUCGUAUUUAAUGCUGACGUGGAAUCCUUCGUGGAUAGAUUGUAUAUUUCGAGUUGAUGCCAACGGUGGAGAUUCAAGAUUCCUUUGAUGAUUGAUUUGAUUGUGAACGGCUUUCGUUUUCCCCAAUCACGUGUGACUCGGGCCCCUCUUUUAUAUCACGUGCGAGAAAAGCUACACCGUCCACGUGGCAACCAAGUAUGUGUAAGCUCGGGUCCCACUUUUAAAGCAGUUGCGCGAAAACCUACACCGUCCACGUGGCGACUAUUGCAGCCCUCAGUGAUACGAUUUAACGGAAAGAUCACUCCGUCAUCUUUCUCCCACCACCACCGUCUCUAAACAAAUUACACAUGGCGAGUCUCUGCAUCUCAUCGUCCAGGAUCGUCUCCCUCCACCACCAGAAACCGUUUCUCUCUCUUAAA
Molecule: long non-coding RNA, 20510 nt
Filed under: Brassica napus (rape)
Lineage: Eukaryota; Viridiplantae; Streptophyta; Magnoliopsida; Brassicales; Brassicaceae
Description: long non-coding RNA (BNAP_LNC015040)
Source: RNAcentral